UGCUGUGCUUAUGAUGGCACUGGAG
This 25-nucleotide non-coding RNA is filed under the name Rattus norvegicus (Norway rat). The record is from RNAcentral. Lineage: Eukaryota; Metazoa; Chordata; Mammalia; Rodentia; Muridae.